GCAGUCCAGGCAGUGAGUCCACCAUGAAUAGUGAGAGUGAACGUUGGGCAGUCGUCGCACUUGCACGUAGUAUUGGUCACGUGUUUUUUUUUUUUUUUUGUCAAUCCGAGACUGGCUUGCGAAAGGGAAACAGGCAAACCGUAAAGCUGCAAUAAGAAGCCCAUGGCAAGAUAAAGGAAACACUGCAUCUGAGGAUGAGGACGAUCCUCCAGUCUCUGUGGAUAAAGAUGAUCAGAAUCUUGGUACCAGUGAUAGGCCUGGGUGUUCAAGCAGUGGGACUACAAGGAGAGUUAGUACAGAACACACAUGUGGAUGGCCUUCCCUGAGGAAAGGAUGUCUGUGGUACGCUGGCUGCCUAAGAUUCCAAUCAGACGAGUCAAGUUGGACUUCUGCACCAGCAAUGUCACUGUGCUACCCAGAUGCUGCUUCCGAGU
Molecule: long non-coding RNA, 434 nt
Organism: Portunus trituberculatus (swimming crab)
Lineage: Eukaryota; Metazoa; Arthropoda; Malacostraca; Decapoda; Portunidae
Exons: 3
Source: RefSeq, a predicted model, not a curated record